RNAcentral lists this ribosomal RNA (542 nucleotides) under Pythium sp. RNAcentral's name for it is "partial large subunit ribosomal RNA". It matches the Rfam family "Eukaryotic large subunit ribosomal RNA", at positions 447 to 835 of the family's 3401-position model. The record is from RNAcentral. Lineage: Eukaryota; Oomycota; Peronosporomycetes; Pythiales; Pythiaceae.
UGGUGUCGGAAGUGGCUUUUGUCGCUCCGUGCUGUGUUUGUGCGUAUGGUUGCUGUUGCCCUGUGUCGCGGUGGGACGUCAGAGUCAGUUCGUAUGCUGCGGGAAAUGGCUAUCGAGGAGGUAGGUCGGGAGCUUGCUCUUGGCUGUUAUAUCUCGUUAGUUUGUUGUCGUGGUUGGGACUGAGGUGCCUACAACGUGCUUUUGAGUGUUCCGGGUUCUCAGUCGGUGUGCCGUUUGGAUAGCUUGCUAUGCUUGUGGCUUUACUGGUUGAUUGAGUCUGGUGGUAACUUGUUGCCGUUCGGGACUUUGACGAAAUGGAGCGAUUCGGCCCGUCUUGAAACACGGACCAAGGAGUCUAACAUGUGUGCAAGUGUUAGGGUGUGGAAACCCGAGCGCGUAAUGAAAGUAAAGGACAGUGUACUCUGUCUGAGGUAGGAAACCUUUGUUUAUCAGAGGUGGCACUAUCGACCGAUCAAGAACCUUCGUGGUGAAAGAUUUGAGUAUGAGCACAUAUGUUGGUACCCGAAAGAUGGUGAACUAUG